Long non-coding RNA from Dipodomys spectabilis (banner-tailed kangaroo rat), 386 nucleotides. RefSeq lists it as uncharacterized. The transcript is spliced from 2 exons. The record is from RefSeq and is a predicted model, not a curated record. Lineage: Eukaryota; Metazoa; Chordata; Mammalia; Rodentia; Heteromyidae.
CAGAGACACGUUGUCCAACUUGUUAACACAAAAGAAAGCAUGCUCUAUCAUGGACCAACACAACAACAACAACUAUAUCAGGUCCAAUACAAACAGCAGCUGCAUGGCCAUAGUGAUCAACUAAAAGCUGCUUAUCUUAGUCAAGGGCAGUGCAGAUGUAUAAAGGGGAUAGCGUUGAAAUCUAUUGCCUAAUACACUCAUUGGCUAACUGAAGACCUGGAUCAAUAUUGAGGAGUCACCUGACCUGAGUGAAAUCUGUGAUCCAGACUCCCAUGUGCCCCAAGAUAUUCUUCUAUGGAUGGGAUCACCCGUUCAUGCUUGCUUGUCUUUAACUUGGAGAUUGCUCAAAAUUUUGCUUUCUAAUAAAGAGUUAACUUUCUGCAUCA